This 164-nucleotide ribosomal RNA is filed under the name Musa acuminata AAA Group (dessert banana). RNAcentral describes it as "5.8S ribosomal RNA". It matches the Rfam family "5.8S ribosomal RNA". Rfam says of the family: 5.8S ribosomal RNA (5.8S rRNA) is a component of the large subunit of the eukaryotic ribosome. It is transcribed by RNA polymerase I as part of the 45S precursor that also contains 18S and 28S rRNA. The record is from RNAcentral. Lineage: Eukaryota; Viridiplantae; Streptophyta; Magnoliopsida; Zingiberales; Musaceae.
UGGACGACUCUCGGCAACGGAUAUCUCGGCUCUCGCAUCGAUGAAGAACGUAGCGAAAUGAGAUACCUGGUGGGAAUUGCUGAAUCCCGUGAACCAUCGAGUCUUUGAACGCAAGUUGCGCCCGAGGCCAUCCGGCUAAGGGCACGCCUGCCUGGGCGUCACGC